UUUCUAUUUUUGGCUCUCCCGUGUUUCCAGGGGAAACCUAAUGACGCAAUGACGUCAAUGCAGGUCACCAGCAAGAAGCAGACUGGAGGAAUUGAGUGGCUUCCAUUAGAGGUUUUGCAGCAUUUUCCGGCAGAGGAGGGGAGGAGGACGAAAUGGAUUAAGAUUAGGGGAGAUGGGGGGCGGAGAAGGUGGGGGAUGCACAGGAAAAACAAAAAAAAGAAAAGAGGAAAGAGGAAAGAAAAGGAAAAAGAGAAGAAAUACAGAGGCGAGAUGAAUGGGAGGCAAUGCGACUGACGUCUGGUGAAGAGAGGAAUGAUGGAAAAGGGGGAGGAGGAGGAGGAGAAUGGGUGGAGGUGGAGGGGUGGUGGUGAUGGUGGAUGGAGGUGAGGUGGGGGGGACCCUUACUGCUGCAUAUCAAUGGGUGCCGUUCAAAUUCCCAGGGAUUAUUGGAGGGAAAAAAAAGAAGUGGGGGGGAAAGAGGAAGAAGAAAAAAAACAGGAUGCACGCUUCCCUCGGAUCGGUGACGACUGGGUGCUGAUAAUGUUGACACAAGAUCCCAGGAUCCACCUUUUUGUCCUUUGUGGGUCUUUUUGCGGUCUGGGCUUGCUGUUCCUAAGGCAGUAGCCAGGAAGCCCUUACCCCAAAAAGUAUCUGCACUGGAUUCUGGCAGCUGAAAGCAGAAAUCUCACUUUCUGUCUCCCUGAUGGAGCAUCUCUCAUUUCUGGUGCUGAUUCAGAGUGAGGACACUGUUCAUUUGCAAGUUUCUUUAAGGUUCAACGUAGUCCGAGCUGGUCAAAGGCUGGUGUAAUGUAAGAAUAUGAUUCUUUUUUUUUUUUUUUAACUGGAAGCCUUUGAGAAGCAUAAUACAAGAUGUGGAAGACUAGAUCAGAGCGGGUAACCUGAGAACAAUCCAAUUGGAAAGAAUCUUAUUAUAGUAAGAAGCAGACAGCAGUUUUACUCAGCUCCACUCCGGAUUGAGAAGUGUAAAGCAACACUUCCUGAAGUUACUUAAUAUCAGAAUUUCUAUUUCGGAAAACACAGACAGGAUGAACCUUUGACAAUUUUAACACACCAGGCAGUGUGGAUACAUUUUGAACAGACAAAAUAUGCAAAUUCUGUCUAUAGGGGAACUGAGUUAAAAGUAGAUGUUAUUUCCAUAGAUUUCAGACAGUCCAUGUGUAGAUGAAAAGGAAUCACACUCUCAAAAUGAGUAUCUUGAAGUCUCUUUAUUCAGGGAGUGCAAAGUAGCUCACACAACACCUGGUUAGGGUGGAGAAUCUCCUGGAAAAAGAGGAAAAAGACAGUAUUUAUACACUGUGUGUCACGUUGUUUAGCUAGGUGUAGGUUCUCUCUGUUCUGGAUAAUUGGGAGGACAAACUGGAUUAAAAAAAAACACAAUGUGAUUUCUAGUAUUUUGCACCUGCAUUCCUUGCUUUCUUUGCUUUAUGAAUGAAUGCACUUGAAGAUUACUCUAAAUCUGCCAUUAAUACACCGUCUUCAUGCAUUUUUAAGUACAUUCUGUUGUCUGUUUUCAGUGUUUUUGCAUCAUCUUUGAUCCAUUUUUUUUUAAAAGAGUGCUGUGUUGUAAUGAGUGUGAACGUUAAGCAUACCGACUACUACUAACAGUACGUUAUGUCACAGGGGCAACUGUGUGUGAAAUCAAGCAGCAAAAAUAUGAAUGGAAUGUCAUCAGCAGGCCAGACAUUUAUAGAAGUGCCCCUAGAAACUCCAUCAACAGGAUGUCGACAGCCAACAAACACGCUGAGUGAAGUGGACGUGUAGCUCCAAGCCUUUGACGUACUCCGUGUUACAUAAAUGUGAUUAUUUAUCCAAACCCAUGAGCCUUCACAAUGUGGUUUUUGUACGUCAAAACCCGAGGCACUUCUUUGUGCGCUGACAAAGCCACUUUGCUUAACUUUCAUCACUCAGGGAUGUCUGUACUGUACAUGAAGUACACAACGAGCACAUGUGACGUCCUCUCCGGAGCACAUGUUGGGCGAUAUUAUGCAGAAGAGUUUGUCCCUCAUUGAUCAUCUCUUUCCAUCUCAGCAUCUUUUUUACACUUUCGUAUCUCUGUGAUUUCACAUUAUUGCCGCUUCUACCCGGCAGCUUCUGUGCUUGUGUGGUUAUACAUGUUCAAUUUUUAUUCAUCUUAUUUGAAUUCACUUCCUCGCUUCACUCUAAAGCAGCUGCUACUGUUUCCAUUAAUGUCUUGUCGCAUAAAACUGAAAUAAAAUUAUUAUAAAGCA
Long non-coding RNA from Acanthochromis polyacanthus (spiny chromis), 2249 nucleotides. RefSeq lists it as uncharacterized. NCBI's taxonomy places the organism in Eukaryota, Metazoa, Chordata, Actinopteri, Pomacentridae. The record is from RefSeq and is a predicted model, not a curated record. The transcript is spliced from 2 exons.